This 522-nucleotide long non-coding RNA is filed under the name Gadus morhua (Atlantic cod). RNAcentral describes it as "lncRNA (ENSGMOG00000035962.1)". The record is from RNAcentral. Lineage: Eukaryota; Metazoa; Chordata; Actinopteri; Gadiformes; Gadidae.
CAGGUGGAGGAGGGGGAGGAGGUGGCCCUGCAGUUGGAGGAGGUGGCCCUGCAGGUGGAGGAGGUGGCCCUGCAGGUGGAGGAGGUGGCCCUGCAGGUGGAGGAGGUGGAGGAGGUGGCCCUGCAGGUGGAGGAGGGGGCCCUGCAGGUGGAGGAGGGGGCCCUGCAGGUGGAGGAGGGGGCCCUGCAGGUGGAGGAGGGGGCCCUGCAGGUGGAGGAGGGGGCCCUGCAGGUAGAGGAGGUGGCCCACCCGGACACGGAAGGACCAGCGGUCUCUACUGUGCAGAGGAAGCGGAGGAGAAAAGAGCAUCACAGCCAGAAGGGGCUUGAAAAAAGGAACAAGACUUUACCGAAGAAUUGCCCCUACCAUAUUGGUCGUGACUCCUUCGAAAUAAGGAGUUACGGGAAGGAGAGGAUGAGAAAGGGCAUUAAAGAAGUCCUUGUUGAUUGGCAGCCUUGCCCAGUUUGUGGGAAGGAGUGGGCCAGGUCCUGGCAGCCAAAAGAUUUGAAUUAGUCCCCCUGC